This is a long non-coding RNA of Syngnathus acus (greater pipefish), 490 nucleotides long. RefSeq lists it as uncharacterized. NCBI's taxonomy places the organism in Eukaryota, Metazoa, Chordata, Actinopteri, Syngnathiformes, Syngnathidae. The transcript is spliced from 2 exons. The record is from RefSeq and is a predicted model, not a curated record.
GGUAGAAACUGGUCCAACGAGGAGAGUGCCCAGCCCUCAUAAAAAAUGUGAGAGUAAGAGAGAACAUACAUUGUAGAAUUGGAUAAAAUUAAAUUGUGAUUGCAGAUGUUACAUUUAGGAGGAAUUAUUGAUCGAUUCGGACAUUAGACUAUACAAGGUGGUUACAUGUAAGAAUAAAUCAAAGAUUUAAAUCACUUUGAGUUAAAAACAACAAAUAAAAACGACAUUGCAAGGGGGCACUUUUUAUUAAAAGAACACCAAGUAAAUUAUUAAGUAGGGGGCAUUCGUGAUUGGGAUUGAAUUAAGGAUAAAAUUAGGUCAAUGAUUAGAAAUCAAUGGUGUUCCUUGUUAUUCUCUUAUCCCCUGCAUUGUAAAUGUCUUCUUUAUGCAGAUAGGUUAACAGGCUAGGAAUUUAGUGAGGAGAUAAUUGAUCAAUUGAUGGGGGUUAAUAAUUGUCCAAAUUCUAGUCACAUGUUUUGAGGGACCACAG